Molecule: ribosomal RNA, 452 nt
Filed under: uncultured bacterium
Lineage: Bacteria
Description: bacterial LSU rRNA
Rfam family: Bacterial large subunit ribosomal RNA
Source: RNAcentral
GGGGAAACCCACCCGCAAGGGUAUCGUGCAGUGAAUACAUAGCUGUACGAAGCGAACUCAGGGGAAACUGAAAAUAUCUAAAGUACCCUGAAAGGAAAAGAAAAUCAACCCGAGAUUCCCCAAGUAGUGACGAGCGAACGGGGAGCAGCCCAAAAGUCGAGCAUGCUUUUAGAGGAGCGGUCUGGAAAGUCCGGCCAUAGAAGGUGAUAGCCCUGUACUUAAAAGGGCAUGUUCGAUGAAAUUGAGUAGGGCGGGGCACGUGAAACCCUGUCUGAACAUGGGGGGACCAUCCUCCAAGGCUAAAUACUCCUGACUGACCGAUAGUGAACCAGUACCGUGAGGGAAAGGCGAAAAGAACCCCGGCGAGGGGAGUGAAAUAGAACCUGAAACCGUAUGCGUACAAGCAGUGGGAGCCCGUAAGGGGUGACUGCGUACCUUUUGUAUAAUGGGUC